CCAUUUUUUGGUAAGCAGAACUGGCGAUGUGGGAUGAACCAAACGUAAAGUUAAAAGUGGCCUAAAAAAUACGUUCAUCAGAUACCACAAAAAGGUGUUGAUUCAUCUUGACAGUUGGACAGUGGCCAUGGAAGUCGGAAUCUGCUAAGGAGUGUGUAACAACUCACCAACCGAAUGAAUUAGCCCUGAAAAUGGAUGGCGCUUAAACGUAUUACUUAUACUUUACCAUUAAAAUAAAUGCUAAACUUUAAUGAGUAGGAGGGCGUAUGGAUAAUUUAGAAGACUGAUAGUGAUAUUGGUUGGAAUUAUCUUUAGUGCAGAUCUUGGUGGUAGUAGCAAAUAUUCAAUAGAGAACAUUGAAGACUGAAGUGGAGAAAGGUUUCACAUGAACAACACUUGGAUGUGAGUUAGUCGAUCCUAAACGGUGGGUUAACUCCAAAUACAUAGAUACUUGUAUCUUGUACCGUGAAAGGGAAACAGGUUAAUAUUCCUGUACUAUAUCAAGGAG
Molecule: ribosomal RNA, 508 nt
Filed under: uncultured eukaryote
Lineage: Eukaryota
Description: eukaryotic LSU rRNA
Rfam family: Eukaryotic large subunit ribosomal RNA
Source: RNAcentral